AGAUCAUAAAAUAUUUCCAUACACCAAAUAUAGUUGACCUAUGGCAUAUAGCAUUAGAUAAAAAGACCAAAACUCAAAAACUUAACUUUGACCACUGAACCAUGAAAAUGAGGUCAAGGUCACAUGACAUCUGCCCGCUAGACAUGUACACUUAACAAUCAUUCCAUAUAACAAAUAUAGUAGACCUAUUGCAUAUGGUAUGAGAAAAACAGACCAAAACACAAAAAUUUAACUAUAACCACUGAACCAUGAAAAUGAGGUCAAGGUCAGAUGACACCUGCCAGUUGGACAUGUACACCUUACAGUCCUUCCAUACACCGAAUAUACUAGCCC
RNAcentral lists this long non-coding RNA (333 nucleotides) under Mytilus galloprovincialis (Mediterranean mussel). Lineage: Eukaryota; Metazoa; Mollusca; Bivalvia; Mytilida; Mytilidae. The record is from RNAcentral.